AUUGAACGCUGGCGGCAUGCCUUACACAUGCAAGUCGAACGGUAACGCGGGGCAACCUGGCGACGAGUGGUGAACGGGUGAGUAAUACAUCGGAACGUGCCCAGUAGUGGGGGAUAGCCCGGCGAAAAGCCGGAUUAAUACCGCAUACGACCUACGGGUGAAAGCAGGGGAUCGCAAGACCUUGCGCUAUUGGAGCGGCCGAUGUCAGAUUAGGUUGUUGGUGGGGUAAAAGCCUACCAAGCCGACGAUCUGUAGCUGGUCUGAGAGGACGACCAGCCACACUGGGACUGAGACACGGCCCAGACUCCUACGGGAGGCAGCAGUGGGGAAUUUUGGGACAAUGGGCGCAAGCCUGAUCCAGCCAUGCCGCGUGCGGGAAGAAGGCCUCGGUUGUAA
This 396-nucleotide ribosomal RNA is filed under the name uncultured bacterium. Its description in RNAcentral is "bacterial SSU rRNA". It matches the Rfam family "Bacterial small subunit ribosomal RNA", at positions 29 to 428 of the family's 1533-position model. The record is from RNAcentral.